Molecule: ribosomal RNA, 253 nt
Filed under: uncultured bacterium
Lineage: Bacteria
Description: partial 16S ribosomal RNA
Rfam family: Bacterial small subunit ribosomal RNA
Source: RNAcentral
AACGUAGGUUCCGAGCGUUAUCCGGAUUUACUGGGCGUAAAGCGCGUUCAGGCGGUUUGGCAAGUCGGGCAUGAAAUCUCUCGGCUCAACCGGGAGAGGUUGUCCGAUACUUCCAGACUUGAGGGCAGUAGAGGGUGGUGGAAUUCCGGGUGUAGUGGUGAAAUUCGUAGAUAUUGGGAAGAACACCAGUGGCGAAGGCGGCUAACUGGUCCGAUACUGACGCUGAGGUGCGAAAGCGUGGGGAGCAAACAGG